RNAcentral lists this ribosomal RNA (397 nucleotides) under uncultured Neocallimastigomycetes. Its description in RNAcentral is "eukaryotic LSU rRNA". It matches the Rfam family "Eukaryotic large subunit ribosomal RNA", at positions 127 to 520 of the family's 3401-position model. The record is from RNAcentral. Lineage: Eukaryota; Fungi; Neocallimastigomycota; Neocallimastigomycetes.
GUUCUACCUUGACGAAUUGUAGUUUAAAGAAGUGUUUUCUGUUGGAGUUUUGGUAAAAGUUCUUUGGAAUAGGACAUCAUAGAGGGUGAGAAUCCCGUAUUUGACCAUUAUUUCCAACUUUGUGAUACACUUUCAAAGAGUCGGAUUGUUUGGGAAUGCAGUCCAAAAUGGGUGGUAAAUUUCAUCUAAAGCUAAAUACUGGCGAGAGACCGAUAGCGAACAAGUACCGUGAGGGAAAGAUGAAAAGAACUUUGAAAAGAGAGUUAAACAGUACGUGAAAUUGUCAAAAGGGAAGCGUUUGACACCAGUGUUGUUUUCUCGAAAAUCAAUUAAAAAUGGCGGGAUUUUGUGUUGUAUUGACUUUAUCAGCUUUCUGCACUUUUUUCCUGUCUUUUUU